RNAcentral lists this ribosomal RNA (460 nucleotides) under uncultured bacterium. RNAcentral's name for it is "partial 16S ribosomal RNA". It matches the Rfam family "Bacterial small subunit ribosomal RNA", at positions 338 to 795 of the family's 1533-position model. The record is from RNAcentral.
CCUACGGGAGACAGCAGUGAGGAAUAUUGGACAAUGGACGAGAGUCUGAACCAGCCAAGUAGCGUGAAGGAUGACUGCCCUAUGGGUUGUAAACUUCUUUUAUAUGGGAAUAAAACGUUCCACGUGUGGGAUUUUGUAUGUACCAUAUGAAUAAGGAUCGGCUAACUCCGUGCCAGCCGCCGCGGUAAUACGGAGGAACCGAGCGUUAUCCGGAUUUAUUGGGUUUAAAGGGAUGGUAGGUGGAUUGUUAAGGCAGUUGUUAAAGUUUGCGGCUCAAACGUAAACUUGCCGUUGAAACUGGCAGUCUUGAGUAGAGUAGAGGUGGGCGGAAUGCGUGGUGUAGCGGUGAAAUGCUUAGAUAUCACGAAGAACCCCGAUUGCGAAGGCAGUUCACCGGACUGCAACUGACACUGAGGCUCGAAAGUGUGGGUAUCAAACAGGAUUAGAUACCCGGGUAGUC